GAUGAACGCUGGCGGCGUGCUUAAUACAUGCAAGUCGAACGGAAAGACCCUGCUUUUGCUCGUUUGUCGUUAGCGGAACACGGGUGUGACACGCGAGUAUCCUCUCCCUGUCUUUCGGAUAUCAUUACGAGAAUGCGGAUAUUAUCCCAUAUGAUCUCUUGCUCCAUAUGGUUGGUUAGUAAAAUUCGGCGGUUCGGUCUGGACUCGCUGCUUAUCAGCUUGUUGGUGGGGUAGUGGCUUACCAAGGUUUUGACGGGUAGCCGGCGUGAGAGGGUGACCGGCCACAUUGGGACUGAGAUACGGCCCAGACUCCUACGGGAGGCAGCAGUGGGGAAUAUUGCACAAUGGGCGGAAGCCUGAUGCAGCAACGCCGCGUGCGGGAUGACGGCCUUCGGGUUGUAAACCGCUUUCGCCUGUGACGAAGCGUGAGUGACGGUAAUGGGUAAAGAAGCACCGGCUAACUACGUG
Molecule: ribosomal RNA, 468 nt
Filed under: uncultured bacterium
Lineage: Bacteria
Description: partial 16S ribosomal RNA
Rfam family: Bacterial small subunit ribosomal RNA
Source: RNAcentral